RNAcentral lists this ribosomal RNA (700 nucleotides) under Lutibacter sp. Its description in RNAcentral is "bacterial SSU rRNA". It matches the Rfam family "Bacterial small subunit ribosomal RNA", at positions 28 to 723 of the family's 1533-position model. Lineage: Bacteria; Pseudomonadati; Bacteroidota; Flavobacteriia; Flavobacteriales; Flavobacteriaceae. The record is from RNAcentral.
GAUGAACGCUAGCGGCAGGCUUAACACAUUUCAAGUCGGAAGGGUAACAGGGUGCUUGCACCGCUGACGACCGGCGCACGGGUGCGUAACGCGUAUAGAACCUACCUUUUACAGGAGAAUACCCCAGAGAAAUUUGGAAUAAUGCUCCAUAGUAUUAUUGAAUGGCAUCAUUUGAUAAUUAAACAUUUAUGGGUAAAAGAUGGCUAUGCGUUCUAUUAGCUAGAUGGUAAGGUAACGGCUUACCAUGGCAACGAUAGAUAGGGGUCGUGAGAGGGAGAUCCCCCACACUGGUAGUGAGACACGGACCAGACUCCUACGGGAGGCAGCAGUGAGGAAUAUUGGACAACGGAGGCAACUCUGAUCCAGCCAUGCCGCGUGCAGGAAGACGGUCCUAUGGAUUGUAAACUGCUUUUAUACAGGAAGAAACACUCCCUCGUGAGGGAGCUUGACGGUACCGUAUGAAUAAGCACCGGCUAACUCCGUGCCAGCAGCCGCGGUAAUACGGAGGGUGCAAGCGUUAUCCGGAAUCAUUGGGUUUAAAGGGUCCGUAGGCGGGCUAAUAAGUCAGGGGUGAAAUCCAACAGCUUAACUGUUGAAUUGCCUUUGAUACUGUUAGUCUUGAGUUAUAUGGAAGUAGAUAGAAUGUGUAGUGUAGCGGUGAAAUGCUUAGAGAUUACACAGAAUACCGAUUGCGAAGGCA